Molecule: ribosomal RNA, 460 nt
Filed under: uncultured bacterium
Lineage: Bacteria
Description: partial 16S ribosomal RNA
Rfam family: Bacterial small subunit ribosomal RNA
Source: RNAcentral
CCUACGGGAGGCAGCAGUGAGGAAUAUUGGUCAAUGGGCGUAAGCCUGAACCAGCCAAGUCGCGUGAGGGAUGAAGGUUCUAUGGAUCGUAAACCUCUUUUAUAAGGGAAUAAAGUGUGGGACGUGUCCCGGUCCGGAGAGUACCCGGAGAAAAAGCAUCGGCUAACUCCGUGCCAGCAGCCGCGGUAAUACGGAGGAUGCGAGCGUUAUCCGGAUUUAUUGGGUUUAAAGGGUGCGUAGGCGGGCUGUUAAGUCAGCGGUAAAAAUUCGGGGCUCAACCCCGUCCGGCCGUUGAAACUGGGGGCCUUGAGUGGGCGAGAAGAAGGCGGAAUGCGUGGUGUAGCGGUGAAAUGCAUAGAUAUCACGCAGAACCCCGAUUGCGAAGGCAGCCUUCCGGCGCCCUACUGACGCUGAGGCACGAAAGUGCGGGGAUCGAACAGGAUUAGAUACCCUGGUAGUC